CAUGGCUGUCGUCAGCUCGUGUUGUGAAAUGUUGGGUUAAGUCCCGCAACGAGCGCAACCCUUAUCCUUUGUUGCCAGCGGUCCGGCCGGGAACUCAAAGGAGACUGCCAGUGAUAAACUGGAGGAAGGUGGGGAUGACGUCAAGUCAUCAUGGCCCUUACGACCAGGGCUACACACGUGCUACAAUGGCGCAUACAAAGAGAAGCGACCUCGCGAGAGCAAGCGGACCUCAUAAAGUGCGUCGUAGUCCGGAUUGGAGUCUGCAACUCGACUCCAUGAAGUCGGAAUCGCUAGUAAUCGUGGAUCAGAAUGCCACGGUGAAUACGUUCCCGGGCCUUGUACACACCGCCCGUCACACCAUGGGAGUGGGUUGCAAAAGAAGUAGGUAGCUUAACCUUCGGGAGGGCGCUUACCACUUUGUGAUUCAUGACUGGGGUGAAGUCGUAACAAGGUAACCGUAGGGGAACCUGCGGUUGGAUCACCUC
RNAcentral lists this ribosomal RNA (485 nucleotides) under uncultured bacterium. Its description in RNAcentral is "bacterial SSU rRNA". It matches the Rfam family "Bacterial small subunit ribosomal RNA", at positions 1044 to 1529 of the family's 1533-position model. The record is from RNAcentral.